Molecule: non-coding RNA, 26 nt
Filed under: Cricetulus griseus (Chinese hamster)
Lineage: Eukaryota; Metazoa; Chordata; Mammalia; Rodentia; Cricetidae
Source: RNAcentral
GGGGCUGAACCACUGCGCAGGCAGAG